Non-coding RNA from Podarcis lilfordi (Lilford's wall lizard), 119 nucleotides. The record is from the annotation of a GenBank genome assembly. NCBI's taxonomy places the organism in Eukaryota, Metazoa, Chordata, Lepidosauria, Squamata, Lacertidae.
AAGUAAGUUUGUUACUGGUAUGAGCUUUCGUGUGCAUGCACACUUCUUCAGAAACUUCGUUUGUAUCUGAAUAAGUGUGCAUGCACACAAAAGCUCAUACCUAUAACAAACUGGAAGAA